GACGUAGGGGGCGAGCGUUGUCCGGAAUCACUGGGCGUAAAGGGUGCGUAGGCGGCUUCUUAAGUCCUGUGUGAAAUGCCCCGGCUCAACCGGGGAGGGCCAUGGGAAACUGGGGAGCUCGAGUGCCGGAGAGGGCCGUGGAAUUCCAGGUGUAGCGGUGGAAUGCGUAGAUAUCUGGAGGAACACCAGUGGCGAAGGCGGCGGCCUGGACGGUUACUGACGCUGAGGCACGACAGCUGGGGGAGCAAACAGGAUUAGAUACCCCCGUAGUCC
Molecule: ribosomal RNA, 273 nt
Filed under: uncultured bacterium
Lineage: Bacteria
Description: partial 16S ribosomal RNA
Rfam family: Bacterial small subunit ribosomal RNA
Source: RNAcentral